This is a non-coding RNA of Microcebus murinus (gray mouse lemur), 1006 nucleotides long. The record is from RefSeq and is a predicted model, not a curated record. Lineage: Eukaryota; Metazoa; Chordata; Mammalia; Primates; Cheirogaleidae.
GGAGCGAGGAGGGCACAGCCGUGGUCUCGGGGCGAGCAUGGGCCCGGGGCCGUCACCUCCCGCGCGCUGCCCCGUGGGAGCCAGGCCGGCACCCGGUCCUGCCGCCAGCACGUGGGUGUUCCCGACAGCCCCCCUAGCUCGGGCAGACACGUCCCCCCGUUGCCAUGGAGACAGGCGCCCUCCCCUAUGGAGAGGGACAGUCACCACCUCGCUGGGCUGGGAGCCAGCGCGGCCCAAGGGCAGACGGGAGCCCCAGGAAGCCGCCCCUCGGGCCGAGACCUGGGAGGGGCAGCCCGGCGCUCCAAGGGGGGGCAGGGGGCGCCGUGCCCCAACACCCAGAGCUCGGAGGGGAGGCCGGCCGGCGGCUCUCUGCGCCUCUGGGGACAGGCCCUGUGACCUCCAGCCUCGUUUUCUUCAUCUGAAAAAUCCAGAUCUCAGUCUCUCCCUGGCAACCUGGUUUUAGGGAAUCGCUUGUUCAUUCAACCAGCAUCCACUGAGCUCAGCCUAAAGGCCAGGCCUGGGGCGAGGGCGCGGGCGGGAGUCCUCGUCCUCCUUGUCAGCCAGGAAUUUCAUCUGGGGCAGUGCCUGCCGGGAGACGCAGGGAGGGCGAGGCGUGAGGGGGAGGGAUUGAUCAGUGAUGUCUGCCGUGAGCACAGGCGAGGGGUGUGGAUUGAUCAGUGGUGUCUGCCGUGAGCGUGGGCGAGGGGUGUGGAUUGAUCAGUGGUGUCUGCCGUGAGCGUGGGCGAGGGGUGUGGAUUGAUCAGUGGUGUCUGCCGUGAGCACAGGCGAGGGGUGUGGAUUGAUCAGUGGUGUCUGCCGUGAGCACAGGCGAGGGGUGUGGAUUGAUCAGUGGUGUCUGCCGUGAGCACAGGCGAGGGGUGUGGAUUGAUCAGUGGUGUCUGCCGUGAGCGUGGGCGAGGGGUGUGGAUUGAUCAGUGGUGUCUGCCGUGAGCACAGGCGAGGGGUGUGGAUUGAUCAGUGGUGUCUGCCGUGAGCGUGGGCGAGG